Molecule: long non-coding RNA, 838 nt
Filed under: Gallus gallus (chicken)
Lineage: Eukaryota; Metazoa; Chordata; Aves; Galliformes; Phasianidae
Source: RNAcentral
AGAUCACCUUCACCACUCAGGAAGUCACGAGAAAUUGCCAGCAGAAUGUCUUUACUUGACUUGAAUUCUGCAUCCUUACAAAAGAGGCAAGGGUCAUGGCCAAUCAAUCUGGACUGUUUAGCACGAUCCAGAAAGCAAACUAACAAUAGCAAUUUUUUCAGUGUAAAUUUUGACAAGGCUUCUUCGUGACCUUCUCGGUAAAGGUGAGGCACAGUGGGAUGUCUAUAUUCAGCUGCAAUGUCGGGGUUCCAAAGCAAGCGAUUAAGAAUAAAUACUGCCAAACCUAUAAAAUCACUAUUGCUUUCCAAAGUUAUCAGUUCCCCAUAAACAGUCUAAUAUGAAGAAGAAAAAAAAAAAAAAACGUUAAAAAUGACCUGAAGCACUAUAUGCUCUUGCGAAUAUCAUACGCUACAGAAAUAAUACUGAAAUUCUGUAAUAGCAAGUGGUAGUUAGCCUCUAAAAAUCAUUUUUUAUAACAGUGACUAAAAGAUAAAACCAAAGGAAAUUUCAGAAUAUUCUGUCUUAUGUAAAAACAUGUUUGAUAAUUCGCAUUUGAUGAAAUCAAUCAGGAGCUCCCUGGAGAAAGAUGCAUCUUCCUAUAGCUCAGUGAGGAGUGAAACUAACUGCAACCUGCUCUUCUGUAAUUAGUCCAACUUUCCUUGAUUAAAUAUUUUUCUUUUUAAUAAAGUAAACAACUUUUAAUGCAAAUCAGUUAUAAUAAAGCAAAAGUAAACAUGCUAUAACUUAAUCAAACCUACUUGGACUAAUAAAACAAAAAAUAUAAGAGAAACCCAAAACAUUCUCUACUAGAAAUCUUGCCAGAUUUUCUCAAUAUGUU